Molecule: non-coding RNA, 202 nt
Organism: Camelina sativa (false flax)
Lineage: Eukaryota; Viridiplantae; Streptophyta; Magnoliopsida; Brassicales; Brassicaceae
Source: RefSeq, a predicted model, not a curated record
AUGGGGAACAAAACAUUCGGCGAGCUGUGCCUUUGGCCCUUGGUCUCAUAUGUAUAUCAAAUCCGAAGGUGACUGUAAUGGACACCUUGAGCCGGCUUAGUCAUGACACAGAUUCGGAAGUUGCCAUGGUAGCAAUUAUAUCGUUGGGACUGAUUGGUGCUGGAACUAAUAACGCAAGGAUAGCUGGGAUGCUUCGGAACCU